GAUGAACGCUGGCGGCGUGCCUAAUACAUGCAAGUCGAGCGAACAGACGAGGAGCUUGCUCCUCUGACGUUAGCGGCGGACGGGUGAGUAACACGUGGAUAACCUACCUAUAAGACUGGGAUAACUUCGGGAAACCGGAGCUAAUACCGGAUAAUAUAUUGAACCGCAUGGUUCAAUAGUGAAAGACGGUUUUGCUGUCACUUAUAGAUGGAUCCGCGCCGCAUUAGCUAGUUGGUAAGGUAACGGCUUACCAAGGCAAGGAUGCGUAGCCGACCUGAGAGGGUGAUCGGCCACACUGGAACUGAGACACGGUCCAGACUCCUACGGGAGGCAGCAGUAGGGAAUCUUCCGCAAUGGGCGAAAGCCUGACGGAGCAACGCCGCGUGAGUGAUGAAGGUCUUCGGAUCGUAAAACUCUGUUAUUAGGGAAGAACAAAUGUGUAAGUAACUAUGCACGUCUUGACGGUACCUAAUCAGAAAGCCACGGCUAACUACGUG
Molecule: ribosomal RNA, 497 nt
Filed under: uncultured bacterium
Lineage: Bacteria
Description: partial 16S ribosomal RNA
Rfam family: Bacterial small subunit ribosomal RNA
Source: RNAcentral